Molecule: long non-coding RNA, 1215 nt
Organism: Anas platyrhynchos (mallard)
Lineage: Eukaryota; Metazoa; Chordata; Aves; Anseriformes; Anatidae
Source: RefSeq, a predicted model, not a curated record
ACUGUCUCUUCGUUCCUGCAGUGUGGUAGUUCUCUAUAUUCAGGAAUGGCAGAAGCAGAACUAUUCCGUUCUUCAAAUCACUCCUCAAGUAUAUGCAGCAUCCAGAACAUUCUUCCUAAAUGAGUUUCUGGAUAUGAUGUAAGCUGAGAAUAUCCUUUCAAAGAGAUCAGAACAUUUUCAGAACAUUUUGUAACAAUAAGUGAAAUCUUUCUUAAAAGAUACUGAAUGCUACAAUGCCUGUUAGUAGCUGUGCAUCUGGCUCAUCUCUCAAUUCAGUGUCUGAAUCUGCUACUAAAACAUGCUGUAUACCAAAGAAAGAAAUAGUAUGUUUGUUUGCAUACUCAGUGCUACACCUAAUUGCUCCUCCUUCCAGGAAUAUCAGACAUAAGGAAUAAGUUUUUCUGUGACAUUAAGGAAGUAAGGCUAAAAGCAGGAUUGCUACCCUGGACUUCCGAAGAGCCAACUUCGACCUCUUCUGGGACCUGCUUGGGAGUAUCUCAUGGGAUAGGCUGCUAGAAUGCAAGGGUGCUUGUGAAAGCUGGCCUACAUUUAAGCAGCACUUCUUCCAUGCUCAGGAUCGGUGCAUCCCUAAGAGUAGGAAAUCGGGGAAGAGGGACAGGAAACCUGUGUGGAUGAGCAAGGAGCUCAUCAAUAAGAUCAAAUCUGUGAUUCUGUGUGAAAAGGAAGAGGAUGGUCUAUGAAAUGUGGAAAAAGGGCCUGUCCUCUUGGGAGGAGUAUAGACGUGUUGUCAGGCCCUGCAAGGAUGCGACGAGGAAGGCUAAAGCCCACCUAAAGGCUUGCAAAAGAGAUAAAGGAUAACAAGAAGGGUUUUUCAAGUAUGUAAACAGCAAGAGGAAGACUAGGGAUAAUGUGGGUCCCUUGCUGAAUGAGGGGGGCGUCCUGGUCACGGGAGACAUUGAGAAGGCAGAGAUACUGAAUGCUUUCUUUGCUUCACUCUUUGCCCCAAGGACACUCCCCCAGGACUCCUUGCCCCUGACAAUAGCACAAAGGGUCUGGGAAAUGGAGGGCUCCCUCCUGGUGGACGUGGGAGUGGUUCGGGACCGUCUGAGUGGGGCUCAACACAUACAAAUCCAUGGUACCGAUGGGAUGCAUCCGUGUGUGCUAAGGGAGCUGGCAGAGGUGAUCGCUGAACUGCUCUCUAUCAUCUUUGAAACGUCCUGGAAAACAGGAGAGGUGUCUGAAGACUGGAGGAUA